AUGGCGACGAGUCGACCUGAGUUAAGCAGCAGCCAGGGGAGGAGCACAAGUGCUCAACAGCAGCAGCAGCAACAAGGGGAGGGGCACACCAGCAGCCACAUCAAACCAGGGGAGGAGGGGAGGAGCACAACAGCAGGAACAACAACCAGGGGAGGGGAGGAGCACAGUAGCAGGGGAGGAGGGGAGGAGCACACCAUAGGAGGGGAGGAGCAGAACAGCAGCAGGGGCAACCAGGGGUGGCGGCUGGAGAGGGUUCGAUCGGGGGAGGGGGUGGGGGAUGAUCGAUCUAGGUUUCCAGGGGAGAUGGGCCGGCCCAUAUAA
Molecule: ribosomal RNA, 321 nt
Filed under: Triticum aestivum (bread wheat)
Lineage: Eukaryota; Viridiplantae; Streptophyta; Magnoliopsida; Poales; Poaceae
Description: partial small subunit ribosomal RNA
Source: RNAcentral